RNAcentral lists this ribosomal RNA (486 nucleotides) under uncultured bacterium. RNAcentral's name for it is "partial 16S ribosomal RNA". It matches the Rfam family "Bacterial small subunit ribosomal RNA", at positions 29 to 507 of the family's 1533-position model. The record is from RNAcentral.
AUUGAACGCUGGCGGCAUGCCUUACACAUGCAAGUCGAACGGCAGCACGGGUGCUUGCACCUGGUGGCGAGUGGCGAACGGGUGAGUAAUACAUCGGAACAUGUCCCGUAGUGGGGGAUAGCCCGGCGAAAGCCGGAUUAAUACCGCAUACGAUCUACGGCUGAAAGCGGGGGACCUUCGGGCCUCGCGCUUGCGGGUUGGCCGAUGGCGGAUUAGCUAGUUGGAGGGGUAAAGGCCUACCAAGGCGACGAUCAGUAGCUGGUCUGAGAGGACGACCAGCCACACUGGGACUGAGACACGGCCCAGACUCCUACGGGAGGCAGCAGUGGGGAAUUUUGGACAAUGGGCGAAAGCCUGAUCCAGCAAUGCCGCGUGUGUGAAGAAGGCCUUCGGGUUGUAAAGCACUUUUGUCCGGAAAGAAAUCCUUGGCCCUAAUACGGUCGGGGGAUGACGGUACCGGAAGAAUAAGCACCGGCUAACUACGUG